This 402-nucleotide ribosomal RNA is filed under the name uncultured bacterium. RNAcentral's name for it is "bacterial SSU rRNA". It matches the Rfam family "Archaeal small subunit ribosomal RNA", at positions 339 to 740 of the family's 1478-position model. The record is from RNAcentral.
GCGCGAAACCUCCGCAAUGCGAGCAAUCGCGACGGGGGGACCCCAAGUGCCACUCUUAACGGGGUGGCUUUUCUUAAGUGUAAAAAGCUUUUGGAAUAAGGGCUGGGCAAGACCGGUGCCAGCCGCCGCGGUAACACCGGCAGCCCAAGUGGUGGCCAUUUUUAUUGGGCCUAAAGCGUUCGUAGCCGGCCUGAUAAGUCUCUGGUGAAAUCCCGCAGCUUAACUGUGGGAAUUGCUGGAGAUACUAUCAGGCUUGAGGUCGGGAGAGGUUAGAGGUACUCCCAGGGUAGGGGUGAAAUCCUAUAAUCCUGGGAGGACCACCUGUGGCGAAGGCGUCUAACUGGAACGAACCUGACGGUGAGUAACCGAAAGCCAGGGGCGCGAACCGGAUUAGAAACCCCG